UGCCAGCCGCCGCGGUAAUACGGAGGGGGUUAGCGUUGUUCGGAAUUACUGGGCGUAAAGCGCACGUAGGCGGACUGGAAAGUUGGGGGUGAAAUCCCAGGGCUCAACCCUGGAACUGCCUCCAAAACUAUCAGUCUAGAGUUCGAGAGAGGUGAGUGGAAUUCCGAGUGUAGAGGUGAAAUUCGUAGAUAUUCGGAGGAACACCAGUGGCGAAGGCGGCUCACUGGCUCGAUACUGACGCUCAGGCACGAAAGCAUGGGGAGCGAAAGGGAUUAGAUA
Molecule: ribosomal RNA, 279 nt
Filed under: uncultured bacterium
Lineage: Bacteria
Description: partial 16S ribosomal RNA
Rfam family: Bacterial small subunit ribosomal RNA
Source: RNAcentral